GAUGAACGCUGGCGGCGUGCCUAAUACAUGCAAGUCGAGCGAACGGACGAGAAGCUUGCUUCUCUGAUGUUAGCGGCGGACGGGUGAGUAACACGUGGAUAACCUACCUAUAAGACUGGGAUAACUUCGGGAAACCGGAGCUAAUACCGGAUGAUAUUUUGAACCGCAUGGUUCAAAAGUGAAAGACGGUCUUGCUGUCACUUAUAGAUGGAUCCGCGCUGCAUUAGCUAGUUGGUAAGGUAACGGCUUUCCAAGGCAACGAUGCAUAGCCGACCUGAGAGGGUGAUCGGCCACACUGGAACUGAGACACGGUCCAGACUCCUACGGGAGGCAGCAGUAGGGAAUCUUCCGCAAUGGGCGAAGGCCUGACGGAGCAACGCCGCGUGAGUGAUGAAGGUCUUCGGAUCGUAAAACUCUGUUAUUAGGGAAGAACAUAUGUGUAAGUAACUGUGCACAUCUUGACGGUACCUAAUCAGAAAGCCACGGCUAACUACGUG
RNAcentral lists this ribosomal RNA (497 nucleotides) under uncultured bacterium. Its description in RNAcentral is "partial 16S ribosomal RNA". It matches the Rfam family "Bacterial small subunit ribosomal RNA", at positions 28 to 507 of the family's 1533-position model. The record is from RNAcentral.